GCACCUGUAGCUCAAUUGGAUAGAGCACUUGACUUCGGAUCAAGGCGUUGGGGGUUCGAAUCCUCUCAGGUGCACCA
This 77-nucleotide transfer RNA is filed under the name Tissierellia bacterium. RNAcentral describes it as "tRNA-Arg". It matches the Rfam family "tRNA". Rfam says of the family: Transfer RNA (tRNA) molecules are approximately 80 nucleotides in length. Their secondary structure includes four short double-helical elements and three loops (D, anti-codon, and T loops). Lineage: Bacteria; Bacillati; Bacillota; Tissierellia. The record is from RNAcentral.